UACGUAGGGAGCAAGCGUUAUCCGGAAUGAUUGGGCGUAAAGCGUCCGCAGGUGGCUGUGUAAGUCUGCUGUCAAAGAGCAAAGCUCAACUUUGUAAAGGCAGUGGAAACUACACGGCUAGAGUGCGUUCGGGGCAGAGGGAAUUCCUGGUGUAGCGGUGAAAUGCGUAGAGAUCAGGAAGAACACCGGUGGCGAAGGCGCUCUGCUAGGCCGCAACUGACACUGAGGGACGAAAGCUAGGGGAGCGAAUGGG
This 253-nucleotide ribosomal RNA is filed under the name uncultured bacterium. RNAcentral's name for it is "partial 16S ribosomal RNA". It matches the Rfam family "Bacterial small subunit ribosomal RNA", at positions 524 to 776 of the family's 1533-position model. The record is from RNAcentral.